GAAGAGAAACCAAGGAAGAACAAACCUUAGGUGGGAAAAAUCAAAGAGAAAGUGUUGGAAUUCAAGGAUUUGCUCAAGUAAAGGUAAAAUUUCUUUGAUUUUGCUAGUGACUUACCUUACCCAUGCAUUUUCCCUUAAUUUCCAUUGUUAAAUUACAUGUUUUCAUGAUGAAUUCAUGGUUGGUCAAAAUGGGUACGGAGAGAGAAUGAUCUUGGAUUGGUUUGAUUUUUAGGUAUGUUAGUGUUUUUAGGUGAUUAACGAUGUGUAGCAUGAAAAUAAGUGAAGAAAACCACCAAAGGUUUGGAACCCAUUAAUAGCUGAAUUCUUUAAGUGAAUAAUGAGGAAGAAUGGGAUGUUAUUCUAGGUGAUUUGAUUAAGAAAUAAUAGUUUUUGGUGUAGGAAUUAAUGAAUUAUGGAGAGAAAAUUAAGUAGAAAAAAUCACGGAGUUAGUGUACCAUUGUUGGCCGAAAGUUCUAAGAAGAAAAGUGAAGGUAAAUUUGCCUAAUUGUGUGUUAAUUAGUUGUGCUUGGUGGAUUAAGGAAUUGGAAAAGAAAUGGACCAAGUUGGAGUGAAAUUGGAUGCAUUGGCUAAUUUAUCGGAUGAAAAAUCGACUUAGGCCAAUACCGGGUCUAGAUGGCUACCCGUGCAUUUUUCAUUUCAUAUCAUGCAUAUAUAUAUUGAGCCUGAAAUAGCUUACGACUGUUAGACACAAUUUAAUUGGAAUAUGUGUCAUGGAUUAUGGCUAGGUGGUGAGUCAUUGGAUAUGGGUAAAGGACUGUACUCGCGGACUGAAAAUAAGAGUAUUUCUACUCUUAGAACUGUGAGUAAACCUGUUAUCGUCUGAAUUAUCUAAAAUGGUUUUUAUCUGAUUUUGUGAUUUUAUGAAAAAAAAUGAGUUUAAAUGGUAAAUCUUUAUGUUUUAUAAACAAAAUGUGAUUUAAUAAAAUGAUUUCAUAAAAUUGUCUUGAAAUUGAAUGAUGGCUUUGAAAAUUUGAGUAAUUGGAGACCAUGUGAUUUAUUGUAAAUUAUGAUUUGAAUUAAAUGGCUUGUGAUAAAUUAGCAUGAUUGGCUGAAUUUAUACCUGUGUUGAAAAAUAUAAAUUGUCUGUUUUGCCUUGAUAAAUUGGUUAGUAAUGUAAUUGCCAUGCUAUGCCAUUGAGAUUUGAUUAAUUGGUGGAUUAAAGAUUAGCUACUGCUGUGGUGGGGGGUUACGUGGAGUAGCCUAUUAGAGGGGCACGGUAAACUCCUUUAUAUUCUCACCUCGGUCGUAGAGGCUCGUAGGGUAUCUCCUGAGGUGGGCUUUUUGAGUGCAUUUCACGUUAACCACCGUGUGAGAGUGAGACUCAGCCAACGUUAAGGAACGGCUGUGUGUCAGAUGCGAAAACAUGUUUAUGAGUAUGAGACAUUUAACAGCCUUGGCAGUCUUAGUGGGGUAUCUUGACGAAGGUACCCGCGAGAAUGAUUUUGGCAGGAGCCAAGUUUUGAGAAAUUCACGAGCCAUAUUGAUUAUUUGGUUGAAAUGAAUAUUCGUGUUGUGAAAAAUUUGCUGAAAUGAAUUAUUUUUAAUUGUCUCCCUUUACUCGCCUUUAGAUAGUUUAGAUGGUGUCUGUUUACUCACUGAGAUUAUGUAAUCAUAAUCUCACCCCUCUUCUUAUCCAUUUUUUAGGCUCAGGACAGUUUGUUGAUAGUUGAUUAAGACGAGAAUUAAUCUCGGAGUUUCAUCCUAGAAAGUAAGGAUUCGUAGCCUUACACCUUCUUAGUUAGUUGGGGGCCCACAUGUCAUUGUAAAAGUAAUUUUAUACUUUAGUUAUUUGAUUUCAAGUAUGUACGAACAUAUUUAGGUUUUACACCAUGUUUUUGGUGGGUUUUGGUGUUCUUAAAGAAAAAUGAUGAAAAUGCCCUUGUGAGCCAG
This 1911-nucleotide long non-coding RNA is filed under the name Theobroma cacao (cacao). RNAcentral describes it as "long non-coding RNA (TCAC_LNC005617)". The record is from RNAcentral. Lineage: Eukaryota; Viridiplantae; Streptophyta; Magnoliopsida; Malvales; Malvaceae.